Non-coding RNA from Acanthosepion pharaonis, 90 nucleotides. Lineage: Eukaryota; Metazoa; Mollusca; Cephalopoda; Sepiida; Sepiidae. The record is from the annotation of a GenBank genome assembly.
UUGAAACACUACUUUCCAUUAGAUCCCCAAAGUUAAGCAACAUCAAGCCUGGUCAGUAGUUAGACGGGUGACUACUUGGGAAUACCAGGU